GGCAGCGAUCAGCAUGCCGCGUGUGUGAGAGGCCUUAUGGUUGUAAAGCACUUUAAGCGAGGGGAGCUACUUUAGUUAAUACCUAGAGAUAGUGGACGUUACUCCAGAAUAAGCACCGGCUAACUCUGUGCCAGCAGCCGCGGUAAUACAGAGGGUGCAAGCGUUAAUCGGAUUUACUGGGCGUAAAGCGCGCGUAGGCGGCUAAUUAAGUCAAAUGUGAAAUCCCCGAGCUUAACUUGGGAAUUGCAUUCGAUACUGGUUAGCUAAGUGUGGGAGAGGAUGGUAGAAUUCCAGGUGUAGCGGUGAAAUGCGUAGAGAUCUGGAGG
RNAcentral lists this ribosomal RNA (326 nucleotides) under uncultured Acinetobacter sp. RNAcentral describes it as "bacterial SSU rRNA". It matches the Rfam family "Bacterial small subunit ribosomal RNA", at positions 41 to 704 of the family's 1533-position model. The record is from RNAcentral. Lineage: Bacteria; Pseudomonadati; Pseudomonadota; Gammaproteobacteria; Moraxellales; Moraxellaceae.